This 347-nucleotide ribosomal RNA is filed under the name uncultured bacterium. Its description in RNAcentral is "partial 16S ribosomal RNA". It matches the Rfam family "Bacterial small subunit ribosomal RNA", at positions 338 to 682 of the family's 1533-position model. The record is from RNAcentral.
CCUACGGGGGGCAGCAGUGAGGAAUAUUGGUCAAUGGCCGGGAGGCUGAACCAGCCAAGUCGCGUGAGGGAAGACGGCCCUACGGGUUGUAAACCUCUUUUGUCAGGGAGCAAGGUGCAGGUCGGGACCGGCUGUGAGAGUACCUGAAGAAAAAGCAGCGGCUAACUCCGUGCCAGCAGCCGCGGUAAUACGUAGGGGGCAAGCGUUAUCCGGAUUUACGGGGUGUAAAGGGAGCGUAGACGGCCAGACAAGUCAGAAGUGAAAGCCCAGGGCUCAACCCUGGGACUGCUUUUGAAACUGCCGUGCUGGAGUGCAGGUGAGGUAAGCGGACUUCCUCGUGUAGCGGU